CGCAUAUGAUAUUUAGUUCCCGC
RNAcentral lists this non-coding RNA (23 nucleotides) under Arabidopsis thaliana (thale cress). Lineage: Eukaryota; Viridiplantae; Streptophyta; Magnoliopsida; Brassicales; Brassicaceae. The record is from RNAcentral.